UUUCGGUGGGGAGAGAAGCAACGGCUGACUAUGACGGUCAUCCACUUCAACACCUUCUGACAGACGUUGCAUAUAGCAGGGUGUCAAACGCCAUCGCCAGCUGCUUGCGAGGGGCAUAUCAACUGAAACCGCCCACGAACACAAAUUGUGUCCACAAUCACGACUGUAAGGUAUUCGACACUUUGCUAAAUAGGAUAGAUUCGCCCGUAUCGUGAUAUGAUCCCAAAAGUGGGUUCGACAUCUCAUACGGUUGAGCCCUCGCCAUCGACAGCACAAGAUCGCCUACGAACACGAGCGACACCGUUGCUGCUAUCCAAUCCGCCGUCCCCCGUCAGCAUCAAGCGCGCAGCCAACGGAUUUACAAAUACCAGCCGGCCGGCCCGUCUCUCGAUCAGCUCCGUGAGACUGCCCUACCCUCCGGUCACGUUCUUCAGGCAUGGCCAUGGAGCGGCGACAUGACCGCCGGUUCUUCCGGAGCACCCAGCCCUGAAAACGAUGCCAUCAUUGGCACACCCUCGCAAGGGACAUCUCAGCUGCCUGCCAUGUUCUUCAGUGUUGUCAUGCUAGCGACUCAGCUACCGCUAUCCAAUGCUGC
RNAcentral lists this long non-coding RNA (595 nucleotides) under Hordeum vulgare. RNAcentral describes it as "long non-coding RNA (HVUL_LNC005709)". The record is from RNAcentral. Lineage: Eukaryota; Viridiplantae; Streptophyta; Magnoliopsida; Poales; Poaceae.